Non-coding RNA from Triticum aestivum (bread wheat), 135 nucleotides. The record is from Rfam. Lineage: Eukaryota; Viridiplantae; Streptophyta; Magnoliopsida; Poales; Poaceae.
UACAUACCCCCUCCGUCCCAAAAUUCUUGUCUUAGAUUUGUCUAAAUACGGAUGUAUCAAGUCACGUUUUAGUAUUAGAUACACCCGUAUCUAGAAAAAUCUAAGACAAGAAUUUUGGGACGGAGGGAGUAUGUG